This 468-nucleotide ribosomal RNA is filed under the name uncultured bacterium. RNAcentral's name for it is "partial 16S ribosomal RNA". It matches the Rfam family "Bacterial small subunit ribosomal RNA", at positions 28 to 507 of the family's 1533-position model. The record is from RNAcentral.
GACGAACGCUGGCGGCGUGCUUAACACAUGCAAGUCGAACGGAAAGGCCCUGCGUUUGUGGUGUUCUCGAGUGGCGAACGGGUGAGUAACACGUGAGUAACCUGCCCUUGACUUUGGGAUAACUUCAGGUAACUGGGGCUAAUACCGUAUAGGAUCUCCUGCUGCAUGGUGAGGGUUGGAACGUUUCGGCGGUUGGGGAUGAACUCGCGGCUUAUCAGCUUGUUGGUGGGGUAGUGGCUUACCCAGGAUUUGACGGGUAGCCGGCCUGAGAGGGUGACCGGCCACAUUGGGACUGAGAUACGGCCCAGACUCCUACGGGAGGCAGCAGUGGGGAAUAUUGCACGAUGGGCGGAAGCCUGAUGCAGCAACGCCGCGUGCGGGAUGACGGCCUUCGGGUUGUAAACCGCUUUCGCCUGUGACGAAGCGUGAGUGACGGUAAUGGGUAAAGAAGCACCGGCUAACUACGUG